AGUAAAAGUCGUAACAAGGUUUCCGUAGGUGAACCUGCGGAAGGAUCAUUAUCGUUAAUAUCAAACAAAGAGUUUUUCCCUCUAGUUAGUGGAAAAAUUACACUGUGAACCUUACCAACCGUUAGGGGUAGAUUACUUUAAAUGGAAGCGUUAAAGGAUUCUUCUGUACGAGCGAGCGAGAGAGACUAGUCACACCGUCUACGAGCGUCGUCCCUCCUGCGACCUUAGUACUAGUCGUCGUGUGUGGUCGCCGCUUAGUCGGUCGCGCUCGUCUUCUCCUAUCGCUCGUGCAGUUAGAAGUGACUCUUCCGGCCCCGUUUGUGUUUGUUUUCUACACGUUCUGUACGACUGAAACUGUGUGUCUACGACGCACUGCGAGGAAAAAAAAAGACAACUUUUAACGGUGGAUCUCUUGGCUCGUGCAUCGAUGAAGAACGCAGCCAGGUGCGAUAAGUAGUGUGAAUUGCAGAAUUCAGUGAAUCAUCGAAUCUUUGAACGCAAAUGGCGCUCUUGGGUUCUCCCAGGAGCAUGUCUGUCUGAGUGUCGGUUUCCAAAUCAUCGUGCGCCGCCGCGUUCGUUCGCGGCGGGACUGUGCGGCGUUGAGGUGUCUCGGCACGUUUCGUUUGCCGCGUCCCUCGAAAUGCAGCGAGACUCGGUCGUGCAGAUUCUGCAGACGAUACCGGAGGCCAAAAAUCUUUUCGUCCUCUCGGUCGUUUUAGAGAAACUGUGACGGACGUAGUCGACAAGGCGAAAUUGAGUAG
This 761-nucleotide ribosomal RNA is filed under the name Savalia savaglia. RNAcentral describes it as "eukaryotic LSU rRNA". The stretch from base 393 to 546 matches the Rfam family "5.8S ribosomal RNA". Lineage: Eukaryota; Metazoa; Cnidaria; Anthozoa; Zoantharia; Parazoanthidae. The record is from RNAcentral.